This 454-nucleotide ribosomal RNA is filed under the name uncultured bacterium. Its description in RNAcentral is "partial 16S ribosomal RNA". It matches the Rfam family "Bacterial small subunit ribosomal RNA", at positions 28 to 507 of the family's 1533-position model. The record is from RNAcentral.
GAUGAACGCUGACAGAAUGCUUAACACAUGCAAGUCUACUUGAACUUCGGUUUGGGUGGCGGACGGGUGAGUAACGCGUAAAGAACUUGCCUCACAGUUAGGGACAACAUUUGGAAACGAAUGCUAAUACCUGAUAUUAUGAUUUUAGGGCAUCCUAGGAUUAUGAAAGCUAUAUGUGCUGUGAGAGAGCUUUGCGUCCCAUUAGCUAGUUGGAGAGGUAACGGCUCACCAAGGCGAUGAUGGGUAGCCGGCCUGAGAGGGUGAACGGCCACAAGGGGACUGAGACACGGCCCUUACUCCUACGGGAGGCAGCAGUGGGGAAGAUUGGACAAGGGACCAAAAGUCUGAUCCAGCAAUUCUGUGUGCACGAUGACGUUUUUCGGAAUGUAAAGUGCUUUCAGUUGGGAAGAAAAAAAUGACGGUACCAACAGAAGAAGUGACGGCUAAAUACGUG